GUAAUAAUCCUGUAGUCGAAAAUGUUGUCUCUCUUGAGUGGAUCCUGAGUACGACGGAGCACGUGAAAUUCCGUCGGAAUCUGGGAGGACCAUCUCCUAAGGCUAAAUACUCUCUAGUGACCGAUAGUGAACCAGUACCGUGAGGGAAAGGUGAAAAGCACCCCGGAAGGGGAGUGAAAUAGAACCUGAAACCGUGUGCUUACAAGUAGUCAGAGCCCGUUAAUGGGUGAUGGCGUGCCUUUUGUAGAAUGAACCGGCGAGUUACGAUUUGAUGCAAGGUUAAGCAGUAAAUGUGGAGCCGUAGCGAAAGCGAGUCUGAAUAGGGCGUUUAGUAUUUGGUCGUAGACCCGAAACCAGGUGAUCUACCCUUGGUCAGGUUGAAGUUCAGGUAACACUGAAUGGAGGACCGAACCGACUUACGUUGAAAAGUGAGCGGAUGAACUGAGGGUAGCGGAGAAAUUCCAAUCGAACCUGGAGAUAGCUGGUUCUCUCCGAAAUAGCUUUAGGGCUAGCCUCAAGUGAUGAUUAUUGGAGGUAGAGCACUGUUUGGACGAGGGGCCCCUCUCGGGUUACCGAAUUCAGACAAACUCCGAAUGCCAAUUAAUUUAACUUGGGAGUCAGAACAUGGGUGAUAAGGUCCGUGUUCGAAAGGGAAACAGCCCAGACCACCAGCUAAGGUCCCAAAAUAUAUGUUAAGUGGAAAAGGAUGUGGCGUUGCCCAGACAACUAGGAUGUUGGCUUAGAAGCAGCCAUCAUUUAAAGAGUGCGUAAUAGCUCACUAGUCGAGUGACACUGCGCCGAAAAUGUACCGGGGCUAAACAUAUUACCGAAGCUGUGGAUUGUCCUUUGGACAAUGGUAGGAGAGCGUUCUAAGGGCGUUGAAGCAUGAUCGUAAGGACAUGUGGAGCGCUUAGAAGUGAGAAUGCCGGUGUGAGUAGCGAAAGACGGGUGAGAAUCCCGUCCACCGAUUGACUAAGGUUUCCAGAGGAAGGCUCGUCCGCUCUGGGUUAGUCGGGUCCUAAGCUGAGGCCGACAGGCGUAGGCGAUGGAUAACAGGUUGAUAUUCCUGUACCACCUAUAAUCGUUUUAAUCGAUGGGGGGACGCAGUAGGAUAGGCGAAGCGUGCGAUUGGAUUGCACGUCUAAGCAGUAAGGCUGAGUAUUAGGCAAAUCCGGUACUCGUUAAGGCUGAGCUGUGAUGGGGAGAAGACAUUGUGUCUUCGAGUCGUUGAUUUCACACUGCCGAGAAAAGCCUCUAGAUAGAAAAUAGGUGCCCGUACCGCAAACCGACACAGGUAGUCAAGAUGAGAAUUCUAAGGUGAGCGAGCGAACUCUCGUUAAGGAACUCGGCAAAAUGACCCCGUAACUUCGGGAGAAGGGGUGCUCUUUAGGGUUAACGCCCAGAAGAGCCGCAGUGAAUAGGCCCAAGCGACUGUUUAUCAAAAACACAGGUCUCUGCUAAACCGUAAGGUGAUGUAUAGGGGCUGACGCCUGCCCGGUGCUGGAAGGUUAAGAGGAGUGGUUAGCUUCUGCGAAGCUACGAAUCGAAGCCCCAGUAAACGGCGGCCGUAACUAUAACGGUCCUAAGGUAGCGAAAUUCCUUGUCGGGUAAGUUCCGACCCGCACGAAAGGCGUAACGAUUUGGGCACUGUCUCAACGAGAGACUCGGUGAAAUCAUAGUACCUGUGAAGAUGCAGGUUACCCGCGACAGGACGGAAAGACCCCGUGGAGCUUUACUGUAGCCUGAUAUUGAAAUUCGGCACAGCUUGUACAGGAUAGGUAGGAGCCUUUGAAACGUGAGCGCUAGCUUACGUGGAGGCGCUGGUGGGAUACUACCCUAGCUGUGUUGGCUUUCUAACCCGCACCACUUAU
This 1871-nucleotide ribosomal RNA is filed under the name Staphylococcus aureus. RNAcentral describes it as "partial 23S ribosomal RNA". It matches the Rfam family "Bacterial large subunit ribosomal RNA", at positions 364 to 2239 of the family's 2925-position model. Lineage: Bacteria; Bacillati; Bacillota; Bacilli; Caryophanales; Staphylococcaceae. The record is from RNAcentral.